GCAAUUGGAGCGGCCGAUAUCAGAUUAGGUAGUUGGUGGGGUAAAGGCCUACCAAGCCUACGAUCUGUAGCUGGUCUGAGAGGACGACCAGCCACACUGGGACUGAGACACGGCCCAGACUCCUACGGGAGGCAGCAGUGGGGAAUUUUGGACAAUGGGGGCAACCCUGAUCCAGCCAUGCCGCGUGCGGGAAGAAGGCCUUCGGGUUGUAAACCGCUUUUGUCAGGGAAGAAAAGACUCAAAUGACGGUACCUGAAGAAUAAGCACCGGCUAACUACGUGCCAGCAGCCGCGGUAAUACGUAGGGUGCAAGCGUUAAUCGGAAUUACUGGGCGUAAAGCGUGCGCAGGCGGUUAUGCAAGACAGAUGUGAAAUCCCCGGGCUCAACCUGGGAACUGCAUUUGUGACUGCAUGGCUAGAGUACGGUAGAGGGGGAUGGAAUUCGUGUAGCAGUGAAAUGCGUAGAUAU
This 468-nucleotide ribosomal RNA is filed under the name Roseateles sp. RNAcentral describes it as "bacterial SSU rRNA". It matches the Rfam family "Bacterial small subunit ribosomal RNA", at positions 217 to 697 of the family's 1533-position model. Lineage: Bacteria; Pseudomonadati; Pseudomonadota; Betaproteobacteria; Burkholderiales; Sphaerotilaceae. The record is from RNAcentral.